Molecule: ribosomal RNA, 354 nt
Filed under: bacterium LimB-10-A-346
Lineage: Bacteria
Description: bacterial SSU rRNA
Rfam family: Bacterial small subunit ribosomal RNA
Source: RNAcentral
GGUCUGAGAGGAUGAUCAGUCACACUGGAACUGAGACACGGUCCAGACUCCUACGGGAGGCAGCAGUGGGGAAUAUUGGACAAUGGGCGAAAGCCUGAUCCAGCCAUGCCGCGUGUGUGAAGAAGGUCUUCGGAUUGUAAAGCACUUUAAGUUGGGAGGAAGGGUUGUAGAUUAAUACUCUGCAAUUUUGACGUUACCGACAGAAUAAGCACCGGCUAACUCUGUGCCAGCAGCCGCGGUAAUACAGAGGGUGCAAGCGUUAAUCGGAAUUACUGGGCGUAAAGCGCGCGUAGGUGGUUUGUUAAGUUGGAUGUGAAAUCCCCGGGCUCAACCUGGGAACUGCAUCCAAAACUG